GUGCCAGCCGCCGCGGUAAUACGGAGGAUGCGAGCGUUAUCCGGAUUUAUUGGGUUUAAAGGGUGCGCAGGCGGAAAGUGCAAGUCAGCGGUCAAACGACGGGGCUCAACCCCGUCUCGCCGUUGAAACUGUCUUUCUAGAGUGAGCGAGAAGUAUGCGGAAUGCGUGGUGUAGCGGUGAAAUGCAUAGAUAUCACGCAGAACUCCGAUUGCGAAGGCAGCAUACCGGCGCUCAACUGACGCUCAUGCACGAAAGCGUGGGUAUCGAACAGGAUUAGAUACCCUGGUAGUCCACGCAGUAAACGAUGAAUACUAAUUGUCCGGGCAGAGCGAUGCCUGGGUGAUACAGCGAAAGCGUUAAGUAUUCCACCUGGGGAGUACGCCGGCAACGGUGAA
Molecule: ribosomal RNA, 395 nt
Filed under: uncultured bacterium
Lineage: Bacteria
Description: bacterial SSU rRNA
Rfam family: Bacterial small subunit ribosomal RNA
Source: RNAcentral